Prunus persica (peach) is the source of this 1158-nucleotide long non-coding RNA. RefSeq lists it as uncharacterized. NCBI's taxonomy places the organism in Eukaryota, Viridiplantae, Streptophyta, Magnoliopsida, Rosales, Rosaceae. The transcript is spliced from 3 exons. The record is from RefSeq and is a predicted model, not a curated record.
AAUACGAAAAAAAAAUAAAAAAUGAACACACCAGGGAUGCGGAGGUGACGCUGCGGUGAUUCGAAGGCAUGACCUAGAGCGGGGAUGCAAAGAGCGCUGACCAACUCAACCACAUCCACACUUGCGUCAGAUAUGAGCGACAACUACAAUAUAACCUGGUCUAGCUGCUGCAUCUGUCAUUUGAAAAAAAAUAUUGGAUUCCCUUCUCCUAGCCUGAGCCCAGAGCCGAAGUCUCUCUUCUGUCCAUUCCCAUUUUGCAGAAGAAAAAGAAUAUUGCUUGGAUAAACCAAAGCCCCUUGCUGUGUCCAGAGAAUCAGAAAAGAUCUCUGAUUUCUCUCUUCGCAAGACCAUCCAUCUCCGCCUUCACUCUUCUUCAUUCUCCCCAACACUCACGAUCCUUUCCUCUCUUUCAAUCCAAUCACACCAGCGUUUUCAUCUGCGUGAGGAGGCCACAGCUGCAGCAAACACAACCAGUGGGGUUGAAUUAUCUGAUGCACCUGAAUUUUUGGAUGGUUUUGGAGUCCCUGGAUUCCUCACAGUCAGAUCUGUCUCCAUCCAUGUCACCAGAUGCUAACUUGUUCCAAGAUGAAAGCAAGCUGAAGCCGAACAAUAGUCUAUUCUCCACCAAUAAGGACCCCAGAUCUGUGCAUCUCGUAGAUUGGAAAGGACGCCAGCUAUUGGAUGCUCACUUGAAUUGUCACAGAAUUGGAAUCCUAUGGGGCCAAGCUUGAAGUUGAGAUUGACUUCAAAAAGCUGCUGGUCACUCGUGUGUUUCACAGGGUCAAAACCAUAACUACAGAAUUCCCAAGGCUUCCAAACUGGUCUUAGAGGAGAGACCUUUACUCUCAGCAAUAUUGAGAACACUGAGUCACCCAGGAACCACUUGACCAAUAAUCUUGCAAGGAUGAUUUCAAGAUCCAAUAUCCAUCUGAAGGAAAAAUGCAGAUCCAUGAGAGGGCAGUCAACACACAAACUCAAAGGGCAUGGAAUCACAUGGGGGUGCCAAAGGUGGACCCGUGCAUCUAGUGAGUAGAAUUUCGAAUGCCUGCAAAUUGUGUGGUUAUGGAUAACUGCUCAAAAUGAUAUAUAUGUGCUGGAUUUGCAACAGCUACCCCCAAACUUAAAUCUUUGAGUGAGCUCGAGCUCAUGUGAAUUGCU